CGUGGGGCGUCUAUACAUGCAGUCGAGCGGACAGAUGGGAGCUUGCUCCCUGAUGUUAGCGGCGGACGGGUGAGUAACACGUGGGUAACCUGCCUGUAAGACUGGGAUAACUCCGGGAAACCGGGGCUAAUACCGGAUGGUUGUCUGAACCGCAUGGUUCAGACAUAAAAGGUGGCUUCGGCUACCACUUACAGAUGGACCCGCGGCGCAUUAGCUAGUUGGUGAGGUAACGGCUCACCAAGGCGACGAUGCGUAGCCGACCUGAGAGGGUGAUCGGCCACACUGGGACUGAGACACGGCCCAGACUCCUACGGGAGGCAGCAGUAGGGAAUCUUCCGCAAUGGACGAAAGUCUGACGGAGCAACGCCGCGUGAGUGAUGAAGGUUUUCGGAUCGUAAAGCUCUGUUGUUAGGGAAGAACAAGUGCCGUUCAAAUAGGGCGGCACCUUGACGGUACCUAACCAGAAAGCCACGGCUAACUACGUGCCAGCAGCCGCGGUAAUACGUAGGUGGCAAGCGUUGUCCGGAAUUAUUGGGCGUAAAGGGCUCGCAGGCGGUUUCUUAAGUCUGAUGUGAAAGCCCCCGGCUCAACCGGGGAGGGUCAUUGGAAACUGGGGAACUUGAGUGCAGAAGAGGAGAGUGGAAUUCCACGUGUAGCGGUGAAAUGCGUAGAGAUGUGGAGGAACACCAGUGGCGAAGGCGACUCUCUGGUCUGUAACUGACGCUGAGGAGCGAAAGCGUGGGGAGCGAACAGGAUUAGAUACCCUGGUAGUCCACGCCGUAAACGAUGAGUGCUAAGUGUUAGGGGGUUUCCGCCCCUUAGUGCUGCAGCUAACGCAUUAAGCACUCCGCCUGGGGAGUACGGUCGCAAGACUGAAACUCAAAGGAAUUGACGGGGGCCCGCACAAGCGGUGGAGCAUGUGGUUUAAUUCGAAGCAACGCGAAGAACCUUACCAGGUCUUGACAUCCCUCUGACAUCCUAGAGAUAGGACGUCCCCUUUCGGGGGCAGAGUGACAGUGUGCAUGAUUGUCGUCAGCUCGUGUCGUGAGAUGGUUGGGUUAAGUCCCGCACGAGCGCACCAUUGAUCUUAGUUGCCAGCAUCAGUGGCACUCUAGCUGACUGACUGAUGACAAACCGGGAGAGAAA
Molecule: ribosomal RNA, 1146 nt
Filed under: Bacillus amyloliquefaciens
Lineage: Bacteria; Bacillati; Bacillota; Bacilli; Caryophanales; Bacillaceae
Description: bacterial SSU rRNA
Rfam family: Bacterial small subunit ribosomal RNA
Source: RNAcentral